AACCUACCCUUGGGACGGGGACAACGCCGGGAAACUGGCGAUAAUCCCCGAUAGGUGAGGGAUGCUGGGAUGCUUCUUCGCUCAAAGCUCCGGCGCCCGAGGAUGGGACUGCGGCCUAUCAGGCUGUUGGUGGUGUGACGGACCACCAAACCUACGACGGGUACGGGCGAUGGGAGUCGGAGCCUGGAGAUGGGGACUGAGACAAGGCCCCAGGCCCUACGGGGCGCAGCAGGCGCGAAAACUCCGCAAUGCGCGCAAGCGUGACGGGGGAACCCCAAGUGCCGUUGGUCUUUUGAUCGACGGCUUUUCGGAAGUCCAAUAAGCUUCCGGAAUAAGGGCUGGGCAAGACUGGUGCCAGCCGCCGCGGUAACACCAGCAGCCCAAGUGGUGGCCGCGAUUAUUGGGCCUAAAGCGCUCGUAGCCGGAUCAGUAAGUCCUUUGUGAAAUCGGGCCGCCCAACGGUUCGGCGUGCAAAGGAUACUGUUGGUCUUGAGACCGGGAGAGGUCGGAGGUACUCUUGGGGUAGCGGUGAAAUGCUGUAAUCCUGGGGGGACCA
Molecule: ribosomal RNA, 556 nt
Filed under: uncultured archaeon
Lineage: Archaea
Description: bacterial SSU rRNA
Rfam family: Archaeal small subunit ribosomal RNA
Source: RNAcentral